This 433-nucleotide ribosomal RNA is filed under the name uncultured bacterium. Its description in RNAcentral is "partial 16S ribosomal RNA". It matches the Rfam family "Bacterial small subunit ribosomal RNA", at positions 29 to 507 of the family's 1533-position model. The record is from RNAcentral.
AACGAACGCUGGCGGCAUGCUUAACACAUGCAAGUCGAACGAGACCUUCGGGCUUAGUGGCGCACGGGUGCGUAACGCCUGGGAACUUGCCCUUAGGUUAGGAACCAUUCCCUGUAAGGGGUCCUAAUACAGGUUAAUGUCAUCGGACCAAAGAUUUCUGGCCUUUGGAUGGGCCCGGGUUGGAUUAGCCAGUUGGUAGUGUAAAAGCCUCUCAAGGCGACGUUCCAUAGCUGGUCUGUGAGGAUGAUCAGCCGCGCUGGAGCUGAGGCACGGCCCAGUCUGCGACGGGGGGGAGGAGUGUGGAGUAUUAGGGAAUGGGCGAAGGCCUGGUCCAGCAAUGCGGCGUGAGAGAGGAAGGCCUUAGUGUUGUAAAGCUCUUUGACCCGGGAUGAGAAUGACAGUACCGGGAAAAUAAGCUCCGGCUAACUCCGUG